AUGAUCUUUUUUCAUCUAAAUUUUUAUUAUUCUAAUUAUAAACGGAAACUCGAAUAUUACAAACAUAGCCAACAAAAAACAAAAUGUUUUAGAAGUCUAAAUCUAAUAUGCUAGAUAACUAUCUUAAUGCUAAAGAUUUUUUUUUUUUUUUGUCAACAAUGCUAAAGAUAUUUAUUCAUAAUAAAUCAUCUUAAACCAUAAAUUAAUUAUUGCUCCAUACAUUUUCUUAACUCAUAAUUGAUUUUAUUUAUCUAAAAGCAGAACACAAUUUUAUAUUUCGAAAUUGAAUAGUACCAAGCCAAGGUCC
This 307-nucleotide long non-coding RNA is filed under the name Capsella rubella. RNAcentral's name for it is "long non-coding RNA (CRUB_LNC004386)". The record is from RNAcentral. Lineage: Eukaryota; Viridiplantae; Streptophyta; Magnoliopsida; Brassicales; Brassicaceae.